RNAcentral lists this ribosomal RNA (212 nucleotides) under uncultured bacterium. Its description in RNAcentral is "partial 16S ribosomal RNA". It matches the Rfam family "Bacterial small subunit ribosomal RNA", at positions 1288 to 1500 of the family's 1533-position model. The record is from RNAcentral.
UCAGUUCAGAUUGCAGGCUGCAACCCGCCUGCAUGAAGUCGGAAUUGCUAGUAAUCGCGGAUCAGCAUGCCGCGGUGAAUACGUUCCCGGGCCUUGUACACACCGCCCGUCACACCACGGGAGCCGGUAAUACCCGAAGUCAGUAGUCCAACCUCGUGAGGACGCUGCCGAAGGUAGGAUUGGCGACUGGGGUGAAGUCGUAACAAGGUACC